GAGGAGAGGAGAGGAGAGGAGAGGAGAGGAGAGGAGAGGAGAGGAGAGGAGAAUAUUAUACAUUCAAAUUUAGUGUUAAGGUCAACAAUGGAAAUUCCUGUCUUUGACUUAUUUUGUUCAGGACAUCUUUCAGAAUGAAGAUGAUGAAGGUCUAGUGGUAUGAUGACCAGAGAUGGGGAGAGUAACAGCUGGAAAGACAAAGACAAAACUCACCGUAUUCAUAUCAACUGUUCCUGUAACACCACCAUCAACUGAAGGAUUAGAAGAGGGAAAUGCCCUUGAAAAGGGGAACUGUGAAGAGACUAUUCCUGGAAAGCUGUAUCUGGGCAGUGAAAAGGAGCAAGUAGGCAUUAUCAGCUUCCAUCACCCAGUGAAGUUGUCUCCAGGCAAUGAUCAAAGGAAAUUGUGCAGCUGCCUUUUAAGUCUAUUACACAACAAGAAUUCCAGGAUUUUGAUUUCAUUUCAGAGGUAGGUCACAACUUCUCAAUCUAGUCCUUCCUAUUUCUCUGCCUUUGAACUUUAUUUUAGUGCCUGAAAUGUUAAGCUGUUCAUCUUCCUGGCUGGUAGCUCAAAUACCAUGCAAGCAUCACUUUAUAGUUUUAUGGGGUUUUUGAGUAUUAGUUCAGCUGAAGCAGAUGAGUUUCCUGGAGGGGAAACUGAAGGAAGGGGAGACAAGAAAGAACAAAAUCUUGAAAAUUUCUAAUGCAAGUGAGGAAUGGAAAGCAAGGUAUCACCAGAAGAUAAACCUUACUGGGAUAAGGAACUGAAGGGAAAUUUGAGAGGUUAGAGAAAUAUUUACAGAGUCAAAAUGUAAACUACUAGAGGAAAAAAAAAAUGCAGUCAAAAGGAAUGUAAAAUCACUGUGCGAUUUUAUUCAUUUUUAAAUAAGGAUUAGAAAUUACUUGAAUUGCAACUGGUGCCACUAAUCUCUCAGCUGUUGUGUUUUAGCCACAUAAACUAGUGUACAAUAGUGGCAAUUAUUGUUCACUUAUAUAUUUUUUAAACUCAUUAAUUAUUCUAUGGCUUCCAGUUUAACAUUCUACUCCCUACCUAGUAUUGAAACUUGUUUAGAAAAAGGGAGCUGUUUAAUUGGACAAAGACAAUCCAUGCAAGUUCUACACAAAGGUAUAAAGUAUUGUUAUCUAAAACAGUUUUGUUUUGUUUUUAACAGAAUAAGCAAGCCUCCAGUGCAGAGUUCAUGGACAAAAACGUAUUUAGUAUUACAAAAUCUGUCUUGAGAUCUAAAGGGCACAGCUAAGUAUGUUUCUGUUGUGUGUUUCUUCCACCACAGUUAGAACAACGACAAUUCCAGUCUUAGUGGAAAUUACAGUGAUGCUUUUCAUCAAUUUCCGAGAAUAAUGUCUGGCAAAGUGGCUCCAGUCAUCUUUCCUAAGGCAGCUACUGUGAGCAUAGCUUGGUACUGACUUUGUGCUAACAGAGGUAUUAAAAGGUUUGCUCCUGGAGAAGCAAAUGAAAUGCUUCAGGACACAAAGGCAGCAGAGCAUACAGAAAGCUAGUAGAUUUUAGAGGCAAUCGUAUACUGAGGAAUUAAUAAUUCUCACUGACUGAAUCGUGUACUAGGUAGUCAACAUAGUCAAAUACCAUUUAUUUCUACAUAUCUUUACGAAAUAAAAGUUUUGGCAAUUUCA
Molecule: long non-coding RNA, 1649 nt
Filed under: Anser cygnoides (Swan goose)
Lineage: Eukaryota; Metazoa; Chordata; Aves; Anseriformes; Anatidae
Description: lncRNA (ENSACDG00005001389.1)
Source: RNAcentral